GAUGAACGCUGGCGGCGUGCCUAAUACAUGCAAGUCGAGCGAACAGACGAGGAGCUUGCUCCUCUGACGUUAGCGGCGGACGGGUGAGUAACACGUGGAUAACCUACCUAUAAGACUGGGAUAACUUCGGGAAACCGGAGCUAAUACCGGAUAAUAUAUUGAACCGCAUGGUUCAAUAGUGAAAGACGGUUUUGCUGUCACUUAUAGAUGGAUCCGCGCCGCAUUAGCUGGUUGGUAAGGUAACGGCUUACCAAGGCAACGAUGCGUAGCCGACCUGAGAGAGUGAUCGGCCACACUGGAACUGAGACACGGUCCAGACUCCUACGGGAGGCAGCAGUAGGGAAUCUUCCGCAAUGGGCGAAAGCCUGACGGAGCAACGCCGCGUGAGUGAUGAAGGUCUUCGGAUCGUAAAACUCUGUUAUUAGGGAAGAACAAAUGUGUAAGUAACUAUGCACGUCUUGACGGUACCUAAUCAGAAAGCCACGGCUAACUACGUG
RNAcentral lists this ribosomal RNA (497 nucleotides) under uncultured bacterium. RNAcentral describes it as "partial 16S ribosomal RNA". It matches the Rfam family "Bacterial small subunit ribosomal RNA", at positions 28 to 507 of the family's 1533-position model. The record is from RNAcentral.